Non-coding RNA from Xiphophorus maculatus (southern platyfish), 1677 nucleotides. Lineage: Eukaryota; Metazoa; Chordata; Actinopteri; Cyprinodontiformes; Poeciliidae. The record is from Ensembl.
GACCCAACAGCUAGCCUCCCCUCUAAAAAAACAUAAACCUAUUCUUCACCCCCACCAAACCCUUCAACCAAACCAUUUUUCCCCCUAAGUAAAGGCGAUAAAAAAGGGCAAACCGAGAGCUACAAAAACAGUACCGUAAGGGAAUGCUGAAAGAGAAAUGAAAAAAUCAGUAAAGUAAUAAGAAGCAGAGACUAGCCCUCGUACCUUUUGCAUCAUGAUUUAGCAAGUCCCAUCCAAGCAAAAAGACUUUUAGUUUGCUCCCCCGAAACUAGACGAGCUACUCCAAGGCAGCCUAACAAAUAGGGCCAACCCAUCUCUGUGGCAAAAGAGUGGGAAGACCUUCGAGUAGAGGUGACAGACCUACCGAGCCUAGUAAUAGCUGGUUGCCUGAGAACUAAAUUAAAGUUUAGCCUUUACUUAUCUCCCACCCCCAACGGACAGCCCAAUAAAGCCCCGGCCCCGAGAUUCCAAAAGAGUUAUUCAAAAGGGGUACAGCCCUUUUGAACAAAGAUACAACUUUACCGAGCGGAUAACAAUCAUACACACCCAGGUAAGUGCCAAGGUGGGCCUAAAAGCAGCCACCCUAAAGAAAGCGUUAAAGCUCCAACACACCCCACACCCCCAAUCCUGACAACAAAAUUGUAUUCCCCCAACACUACCAGGCCUUCCUAUGUUAAUAGAAAAGAUUAUGCUAAAAUGAGUAAUAAGAGAAUACAUUUCUCUCCCCGCACAUGUGUAAGCCGGAUCGGACCCCCCACCGGCAAUUAACGGCCCCAAACCAAGAGGGUAUUAAGACCAAAACAGACAACAAGAAAACCCCCUAAAUACUCCCCGUUACCCUCACACCAGCGUGCCCCCCAGGAAAGACUAAAAAGGGAAGAAGGAACUCGGCAAAUACUACAAAGCCUCGCCUGUUUACCAAAAACAUCGCCUCUUGACCAACUCAUAAUAAGAGGUCCCGCCUGCCCUGUGACUUAAAUUUUAACGGCCGCGGUAUCUUGACCGUGCAAAGGUAGCGUAAUCACUUGUCUUUUAAAUGAAGACCUGUAUGAAUGGCAAAACGAGGGCUUAACUGUCUCCUUCCUCCAGUCAAUGAAAUUGAUCUCCCCGUGCAGAAGCGGGGAUGCUAACAUAAGACGAGAAGACCCUAUGGAGCUUUAGACGUACUGACAGAUCACGUAAAGCCUUCUUAAUUAAAAGAUAAAACCGACCGACCCCUGUCACGAUGUCUUUGGUUGGGGCGACCCCGGGGAAAUAAAAAACCCCCGAACGGAAUGAAGGCACCUCAGCUUCAUGGACAAGAGCCGCAGCUCACAAAAUCAGAACCUCUGACCUAAAGAUCCGAUACAAUCGAUCAACGGACCGAGUUACCCUAGGGAUAACAGCGCAAUCCCCUUUCAGAGCCCCUAUCGACAAGGGGGUUUACGACCUCGAUGUUGGAUCAGGACAUCCUAAUGGUGCAGCCGCUAUUAAGGGCUCGUUUGUUCAACGAUUAAAGUCCUACGUGAUCUGAGUUCAGACCGGAGUAAUCCAGGUCAGUUUCUAUCUAUAAAGUGCUUUCUUCCAGUACGAAAGGACCGAAGAAAAGAGGCCCAUGCUUAAAGUAAACCUUACCCCCACCUAAUGAAAACAACUUAAUUAGGCAAAAGGAGCCUCCCCCUGCCAAAGAUAAUAGCU